GCCCUUACUCCUACGGGAGGCAGCAGUGGGGAAUAUUGCGCAAUGGGCGAAAGCCUGACGCAGCGACGCCGCGUGUGGGAUGAAGGUCUUCGGAUUGUAAACCACUGUCGGGAGGGACGAAUGCGCCGCAAGGCRAGUGACGGUACCUCCAAAGGAAGCACCGGCUAACUCUGUGCCAGCAGCCGCGGUAAUACAGAGGGUGCAAGCGUUAAUCGGAAUUACUGGGCGUAAAGGGUGCGUAGGUGGUUUGUUAAGUCAGGCGUGAAAUCCUCGGGCUCAACCUGGGAACUGCGCUUGAUACUGGCAGACUCGAGUGUGGUAGAGGAUAGUGGAAUUCCCGGUGUAGCGGUGAAAUGCGUAGAUAUCGGGAGGAACAUCAGUGGCGAAGGCGGCUAUCUGGACUAACACUGACACUGAGGCACGAAAGCGUGGGUAGCAAACAGGAUUAGAUACCCUGGUAGUCCACGCCCUAAACGAUGGGUACUAGACGUCGGGAAGCUUGUCUUCUUGGUGUCGCAKCUAACGCAAUAAGUACCCCGCCUGGGGAGUACGGCCGCAAGGCUAAACUCAAUGAAUUGACGGAGG
This 585-nucleotide ribosomal RNA is filed under the name uncultured Ectothiorhodospiraceae bacterium. RNAcentral's name for it is "bacterial SSU rRNA". It matches the Rfam family "Bacterial small subunit ribosomal RNA", at positions 329 to 919 of the family's 1533-position model. Lineage: Bacteria; Pseudomonadati; Pseudomonadota; Gammaproteobacteria; Chromatiales; Ectothiorhodospiraceae. The record is from RNAcentral.